AUUGAAACACCAGUUUCAGUAUGAUCACUGAAGUUAAGCAACAUCAAGCCUAGUCAGUACCUAGAUGGGUGUCUGUUUGGGAAUACCAGGUGCUGUAAG
This 99-nucleotide ribosomal RNA is filed under the name Acanthosepion pharaonis. Lineage: Eukaryota; Metazoa; Mollusca; Cephalopoda; Sepiida; Sepiidae. The record is from RNAcentral.